UGGGGAAUUUUGGACAAUGGGCGAAAGCCUGAUCCAGCAAUGCCGCGUGUGUGAAGAAGGCCUUCGGGUUGUAAAGCACUUUUGUCCGGAAAGAAAUCCUUGGCUCUAAUACAGUCGGGGGAUGACGGUACCGGAAGAAUAAGCACCGGCUAACUACGUGCCAGCAGCCGCGGUAAUACGUAGGGUGCAAGCGUUAAUCGGAAUUACUGGGCGUAAAGCGUGCGCAGGCGGUCCGCUAAGACAGAUGUGAAAUCCCCGGGCUUAACCUGGGAACUGCAUUUGUGACUGGCGGGCUAGAGUAUGGCAGAGGGGGGUAGAAUUCCACGUGUAGCAGUGAAAUGCGUAGAGAUGUGGAGGAAUACCGAUGGCGAAGGCAGCCCCCUGGGCCAAUACUGACGCUCAUGCACGAAAAGCGUGGGGGAGCAAACAGGAUUAGAUACCCUGGUAGUCCACGCCCUAAACGAUGUCAACUAGUUGUCGGGUCUUCAUUGACUUGGUAACGUAGCUAACGCGUGAAGUUGACCGCCUGGGGAGUAACGGUCGCAAGAUUAAAAACUUAAAUGAAUUNA
RNAcentral lists this ribosomal RNA (569 nucleotides) under uncultured bacterium. RNAcentral's name for it is "partial 16S ribosomal RNA". It matches the Rfam family "Bacterial small subunit ribosomal RNA", at positions 355 to 913 of the family's 1533-position model. The record is from RNAcentral.